RNAcentral lists this ribosomal RNA (459 nucleotides) under uncultured bacterium. RNAcentral describes it as "partial 16S ribosomal RNA". It matches the Rfam family "Bacterial small subunit ribosomal RNA", at positions 338 to 795 of the family's 1533-position model. The record is from RNAcentral.
CCUACGGGGUGCAGCAGUGAGGAAUAUUGGUCAAUGGUCGGGAGACUGAACCAGCCAAGCCGCGUGAGGGAGGACGGUACAGAGUAUCGUAAACCUCUUUUGUCAGGGAACAAAGACUGGGCCUCUUCCCCUGAUGAGUGUACCUGAAGACAAAGCUUCGGCUACCUCCGUGCCAGCAGCCGCGGUAAUCCGGAGGAUCCGAGCGUAUUCCGGAUUUAUUGGUUUUAAGGGGUGCGAAGGCGGUCUGUUAAGUCAGGGUACAAAGCGCGGGGCUCACCCCCGUCCCGCCGUUGAAACUGGGAGUCUCGAGUUGGAGAGAGGUAUGCGGAAUGCGCGGUGUAGCGGUGAAAUGCAUAGAUAUCGCGCAGAACCCCGAUUGCGAAGGCAGCAUGCCGGCGCCACACUGACGCUGAGGCACGAAAGCGUGGGUAUCGAACAGGAUUAGAUACCCCGGUAGUC